RNAcentral lists this long non-coding RNA (676 nucleotides) under Carica papaya (papaya). Its description in RNAcentral is "long non-coding RNA (CPAP_LNC013306)". The record is from RNAcentral. Lineage: Eukaryota; Viridiplantae; Streptophyta; Magnoliopsida; Brassicales; Caricaceae.
GGUAAAUAAACAAAUUGCUAUAUAUAACCUUAAUUUUCCAGUUACUAUUAUGAGAUUUUGAUGCUGAUGUUUCGUGACUUUAAUUUCAGGCGACAUGGGUCUGAGAGUUGGGCUGUUGUUUAUCUUCUUGUUGUGCUCAACCUGGGUUUGCAAUGCGAGACAACUGGGAGCUCCUGAGCUCUCUGGUAGGGAUCAUGAAGAUCUCUUAUCUAUUAACUUUUUUAUCCAGCUAUUUCUGCUAAGUCUAUUUUUCUGUUGCAUUCUGCAAUGUCAAUCUCCUUCUCUAGUAACUCUCAACUUUGUCCUCGCCAACACAUCCCCACUGCAAAUUGACACUGGGCUUCUAAACAAAACAAUUUUACUUUGAUGAUGCAAUUUGAAUUUGCUAUGGUGGUGGUAAAUUUUUUGUACUUGUGUUUUCAUUUUGUUCCUACUCCACUAGACCUUAUUAAUCAUGGCCCCUUAUUUGUGGUCUGAUAACAUUCUAAGAUUUAGGUGCUUAAGUUGGGAUAGAAAUUAUUUUUUGCAUUGGGGCAUGGCCAUCACAAUGAGAUUCACGUGUCUUUCUGAUUAUUUAAAUGGUGUGGGUUUGACUAGAUUUUAUUCCUCAUACCACAAUAUGAGGGUUGUACGGAGGAGAGUUGGUUUAUGUCUAUGGUGUUUGGUAUGAGAAGAU